AGCGUACACGGUGGAUGCCCUGGCAGUCAGAGGCGAUGAAGGACGUGCUAAUCUGCGAAAAGCGCCGGUAAGGUGAUAUGAACCGUUAUAACCGGCGAUGUCCGAAUGGGGAAACCCGGUGCACUUCGGUGCAUCAUCGUUAGCUGAAUACAUAGGCUAACGAGGCGAACCGGGGGAACUGAAACAUCUAAGUACCCCGAGGAAAAGAAAUCAACCGAGAUUCCCCCAGUAGCGGCGAGCGAACGGGGAACAGCCCAGAGCCUGAAUCAGCUUGUGUGUCAGUGGAACGGUCUGGAAAGGCCGGCGAUACAGGGUGACAGCCCCGUACACGAAGGCACACAGGCUGUGAGCUCGAUGAGUAGGGCGGGACACGUGAUAUCCUGUCUGAAGAUGGGGGGACCAUCCUCCAAGGCUAAAUACUCCUGACUGACCGAUAGUGAACCAGUACCGUGAGGGAAAGGCGAAAAGAACCCCGGCGAGGGGAGUGAAACAGAACCUGAAACCGUGUACGUACAAGCAGUGGGAGCCUUCGUAAGAGGGUGACUGCGUACCUUUUGUAUAAUGGGUCAGCGACUUAUAUUCUGUAGCAAGGUUAACCGUAUAGGGGAGCCGAAGGGAAACCGAGUCUUAAUUGGGCGUUAAGUUGCAGGGUAUAGACCCGAAACCCGGUGAUCUAGCCAUGGGCAGGUUGAAGGUUGGGUAACACUAACUGGAGGACCGAACCGACUAAUGUUGAAAAAUUAGCGGAUGACCUGUGGCUGGGGGUGAAAGGCCAAUCAAACCGGGAGAUAGCUGGUUCUCCCCGAAAGCUAUUUAGGUAGCGCCUCGUGAAUUCAUCUCCGGGGGUAGAGCACUGUUUCGGCUAGGGGGCCAUCCCGGCUUACCAACCCGAUGCAAACUGCGAAUACCGGAGAAUGUUAUCACGGGAGACACACGGCGGGUGCUAACGUCCGUCGUGAAGAGGGAAACAACCCAGACCGCCAGCUAAGGUCCCAAAGUCAUGGUUAAGUGGGAAACGAUGUGGGAAGGCCCAGACAGCCAGGAUGUUGGCUUAGAAGCAGCCAUCAUUUAAAGAAAGCGUAAUAGCUCACUGGUCGAGUCGGCCUGCGCGGAAGAUGUAACGGGGCUAAACCAUGCACCGAAGCUGCGGCAGCGACACUAUGUGUUGUUGGGUAGGGGAGCGUUCUGUAAGCCUGUGAAGGUGUGCUGUGAGGCAUGCUGGAGGUAUCAGAAGUGCGAAUGCUGACAUAAGUAACGAUAAAGCGGGUGAAAAGCCCGCUCGCCGGAAGACCAAGGGUUCCUGUCCAACGUUAAUCGGGGCAGGGUGAGUCGACCCCUAAGGCGAGGCCGAAAGGCGUAGUCGAUGGGAAACAGGUUAAUAUUCCUGUACUUGGUGUUACUGCGAAGGGGGGACGGAGAAGGCUAUGUCGGCCGGGCGACGGUUGUCCCGGUUUAAGCGUGUAGGCUGACUUUCCAGGCAAAUCCGGAAAGUUAAGGCUGAGGCGUGAUGACGAGGCACCACGGUGCUGAAGUGACAAAUGCCCUGCUUCCAGGAAAAGCCUCUAAGCAUCAGGUAACAUCAAAUCGUACCCCAAACCGACACAGGUGGUCAGGUAGAGAAUACCAAGGCGCUUGAGAGAACUCGGGUGAAGGAACUAGGCAAAAUGGUGCCGUAACUUCGGGAGAAGGCACGCUGACAUGUAGGUGAAGCCCCUGCGGGUGGAGCUGAAGUCAGUCGAAGAUACCAGCUGGCUGCAACUGUUUAUUAAAAACACAGCACUGUGCAAACACGAAAGUGGACGUAUACGGUGUGACGCCUGCCCGGUGCCGGAAGGUUAAUUGAUGGGGUUAUCGCAAGAGAAGCUCCUGAUCGAAGCCCCGGUAAACGGCGGCCGUAACUAUAACGGUCCUAAGGUAGCGAAAUUCCUUGUCGGGUAAGUUCCGACCUGCACGAAUGGCGUAAUGAUGGCCAGGCUGUCUCCACCCGAGACUCAGUGAAAUUGAACUCGCUGUGAAGAUGCAGUGUACCCGCGGCAAGACGGAAAGACCCCGUGAACCUUUACUACAGCUUGACACUGAACAUUGAGCCUUGAUGUGUAGGAUAGGUGGGAGGCUUUGAAGCGUGGACGCCAGUCUGCGUGGAGCCAACCUUGAAAUACCACCCUUUAAUGUUUGAUGUUCUAACCUGGCGCCGUAAUCCGGCGUGGGGACAGUGUCUGGUGGGUAGUUUGACUGGGGCGGUCUCCUCCCAAAGUGUAACGGAGGAGCACGAAGGUCAGCUAAUCCUGGUCGGACAUCAGGAGGUUAGUGCAAUGGCAUAAGCUGGCUUGACUGCGAGAGUGACGGCUCGAGCAGGUGCGAAAGCAGGUCAUAGUGAUCCGGUGGUUCUGUAUGGAAGGGCCAUCGCUCAACGGAUAAAAGGUACUCCGGGGAUAACAGGCUGAUACCGCCCAAGAGUUCAUAUCGACGGCGGUGUUUGGCACCUCGAUGUCGGCUCAUCACAUCCUGGGGCUGAAGUAGGUCCCAAGGGUAUGGCUGUUCGCCAUUUAAAGUGGUACGCGAGCUGGGUUUAGAACGUCGUGAGACAGUUCGGUCCCUAUCUGCCGUGGGCGCUGGAGAAUUGAGGGGGGCUGCUCCCAGUACGAGAGGACCGGAGUGGACGCAUCACUGGUGUUCGGGUUGUCAUGCCAAUGGCACUGCCCGGUAGCUAAAUGCGGAAGAGAUAAGUGCUGAAAGCAUCUAAGCACGAAACUUGCCCCGAGAUGAGUUCUCCCUGACUCCUUGA
Molecule: ribosomal RNA, 2785 nt
Filed under: Cronobacter sakazakii
Lineage: Bacteria; Pseudomonadati; Pseudomonadota; Gammaproteobacteria; Enterobacterales; Enterobacteriaceae
Description: bacterial LSU rRNA
Rfam family: Bacterial large subunit ribosomal RNA
Source: RNAcentral